Non-coding RNA from Schistosoma mansoni, 46 nucleotides. NCBI's taxonomy places the organism in Eukaryota, Metazoa, Platyhelminthes, Trematoda, Strigeidida, Schistosomatidae. The record is from Rfam.
GCACUGCUGAGGAGUCCCAUACUAGGACGAAAUGUUUGUCCAGUGC